This 72-nucleotide transfer RNA is filed under the name Acropyga myops. RNAcentral describes it as "tRNA-Leu". Lineage: Eukaryota; Metazoa; Arthropoda; Insecta; Hymenoptera; Formicidae. The record is from RNAcentral.
AUUACUUUGACAGAAAAGUGUGUUAAAUUUAGAAUUUAAUUAUAUGUAUUUAUUUUUAAUAUAUAAGUAAUA